UACGGAGGGUGCAAGCGUUAUCCGGAUUCACUGGGUUUAAAGGGUGCGUAGGCGGGUUGUUAAGUCAGUGGUGAAAUCUCAGAGCUUAACUCUGAAACUGCCAUUGAUACUAAUGAUCUUGAAUACUGUGGAGGUAAGCGGAAUAUGUCAUGUAGCGGUGAAAUGCUUAGAUAUGACAUAGAACACCCAUUGCGAAGGCAGCUUACUACGCAUAUAUUGACGCUGAUGCACGAAAGCGUGGGGAUCAAACAGG
Molecule: ribosomal RNA, 253 nt
Filed under: uncultured bacterium
Lineage: Bacteria
Description: partial 16S ribosomal RNA
Rfam family: Bacterial small subunit ribosomal RNA
Source: RNAcentral